This 415-nucleotide ribosomal RNA is filed under the name uncultured bacterium. Its description in RNAcentral is "bacterial SSU rRNA". It matches the Rfam family "Bacterial small subunit ribosomal RNA", at positions 355 to 786 of the family's 1533-position model. The record is from RNAcentral.
UGGGGAAUAUUGCGCAAUGGGCGGAAGCCUGACGCAGCGACGCCGCGUGCGGGAUGAAGGCCUUCGGGUUGUAAACCGCUUUCAGCAGGGACGAACAAGGACGGUACCUGCAGAAGAAGCGCCGGCUAACUACGUGCCAGCAGCCGCGGUAAUACGUAGGGCGCGAGCGCUGUCCGGAAUUAUUGGGCGUAAAGAGCUCGUAGGCGGCCUGUCGCGUCCGCUGUGAAAUCCCGGGGCUCAACCCCGGGCCUGCAGUGGAUACGGGCUGGCUGGAGGCAGGCAGGGGAGAACGGAAUUCCUGGUGUAGCGGUGAAAUGCGCAGAUAUCAGGAGGAACACCGGUGGCGAAGGCGGUUCUCUGGGCCUGUACUGACGCUGAGGAGCGAAAGCGUGGGGAGCGAACAGGAUUAGAUACC